UUUAUAAAGAGUUUGAUCCUGGCUCAGGACGAACGCUGGCGGCGCGCCUAACACAUGCAAGUCGAACGAGCGAGAGAGAGCUUGCUUUCUCGAGCGAGUGGCGAACGGGUGAGUAACGCGUGAGGAACCUGCCUCAAAGAGGGGGACAACAGUUGGAAACGACUGCUAAUACCGCAUAAGCCCACGACCCGGCAUCGGGUUGAGGGAAAAGGAGCAAUCCGCUUUGAGAUGGCCUCGCGUCCGAUUAGCUAGUUGGUGAGGUAACGGCCCACCAAGGC
This 278-nucleotide ribosomal RNA is filed under the name Faecalibacterium prausnitzii. Its description in RNAcentral is "partial 16S ribosomal RNA". It matches the Rfam family "Bacterial small subunit ribosomal RNA", at positions 1 to 274 of the family's 1533-position model. Lineage: Bacteria; Bacillati; Bacillota; Clostridia; Eubacteriales; Oscillospiraceae. The record is from RNAcentral.